GUCUAUAUCAUGUUGAAACACCCGUUCUCAUAUGAUUACCGAAGUUAAACAACAUCAAGCCUGGUCAGUACCUGGAUGUGUGAUCACUUUGGAAUACCGGGCGCUGUAAG
This is a non-coding RNA of Acanthosepion pharaonis, 110 nucleotides long. The record is from the annotation of a GenBank genome assembly. Lineage: Eukaryota; Metazoa; Mollusca; Cephalopoda; Sepiida; Sepiidae.